RNAcentral lists this ribosomal RNA (487 nucleotides) under uncultured bacterium. RNAcentral describes it as "bacterial SSU rRNA". It matches the Rfam family "Bacterial small subunit ribosomal RNA", at positions 28 to 511 of the family's 1533-position model. The record is from RNAcentral.
GACGAACGCUGGCGGCGUGCUUAACACAUGCAAGUCUACGAGAACGAGGUAGCAAUAUCUUUAGUAAAGUGGCGCACGGGUGCGUAACACGUAAGCAAUCUACCUUUGGGUCUGGAAUAACUUCGAGAAAUCGAGGCUAAUACCGGAUAAUGCAGCGGCACCGCAUGGUGAUGUUGUUAAAGUUUAAGUAAUGCCUAUAGAUGAGCUUGCGUCUGAUUAGCUAGUUGGUAGGGUAAAGGCCUACCAAGGCUACGAUCAGUAGCUGGUCUGAGAGGAUGAUCAGCCACACUGGAACUGAGACACGGUCCAGACUCCUACGGGAGGCAGCAGUGAGGAAUAUUGGGCAAUGCCGCAAGGGUGACCCAGCAACGCCGCGUGGAGGAUGAAGGCCGUAAGGUUGUAAACUCCUGUUAGAGGAGAAGAAUAGUACCGAUUGGAUCGGUAUUUGACUGUACCCUCAGAGAAAGCCCGGCUAACUACGUGCCAG